Molecule: long non-coding RNA, 7107 nt
Organism: Ictalurus punctatus (channel catfish)
Lineage: Eukaryota; Metazoa; Chordata; Actinopteri; Siluriformes; Ictaluridae
Source: Ensembl
GAUAAAUUUAACAAUACACACAGUGAUUCAAACAAUUUGAGAAAACCACAACAGGAAGAUAAAUGAAUGGUUAAAAUGGUACAAAAUACCAUGAAGCACUAAUGAAUGAAUGAAUUCUCAGGGUUUAUGAGUUUUAUCCUGACCUCUAUCCUGUCAUAAACCGUCUCGUUAGUGUUUCUGAGUGAGUGUACGGAGUCACCUCGCUAAUCUAAUCUCGGCUAAUCUCAGUUAGUUUGCUAAGCUAAUGCUAAUCUAAUCGAAAAACUAUGCUAGCAUGAAGCAUAAGAUGUAAACAUAAAUCAAAGAAAGUGAUGUAUAAAUCAUAUAAUGGGCUUUUUUAAAUAUAUAUAUAUAUAUAUAUAUAUAUAUAGUUUGGCUGCUAUCAUUUCUCGUUCGAAUUUAUUUCAGGCCACGCCCACGAGCGACAAACUACACGCGACGCCUCAGAGCUUGUGCGAAAGUAAGAUAAGAGUGCCAAUACUUUUGGAACCAGACGAAAAAAACAAACAAACAAAAAAAACUACGCAGACAUCAUAUAUGUCUAAACUGAAGAUAUUACUCACGGCAUGACGGGAUUUUAUAAAGUCCCUUUCUAUCCGUUUUGAAGGUAUUCGUUCUGUAACGACGGAUUCGAGCGCAUUUCUACACAGCAUCUGGGAACUGCUGAAUGUGUGAAGGUUUGUGCUCGCAUCAAUCUGUUUUAUCUGUGUGUGACUUGCAGUUAUAAGGUUUUAAAGCACUCUGGCUUAACAUUAGUCGGUUUAAUUUGCUAUAUAAAUAAAAUUGACUUCCUGGAACUCCGCCGAGACUCUACCGGGGUUCAGGAACGUGCGAUCAGGCGAAGAGACGCGGCGGUUCCAGAGCGAGUCGCUACCGUCUGCGGCGCUGUGAUUCGUCUGAUAUGUGCACGAUUAUCUCUCUCCUUCGCUACCGAAUAUCAGCCAGAGGGUGUAAUAUUCCUGUCACACACUGAUGCGUGGAAAUGACAGAUGAUGAUGGUAUUAAGAAAUAUUUUCCCAUACUGCUAGCUUUCAUACACUGACAGACAUAUUAGCAUCUGUUGCAUGAAUUCAACUGAAAAGUGACAUUUCCAUUAUUUAGUUAAAUAUACUGGAGCGAUUCCGUGAAAGAGAUAUAUUUCUCACGCAAAUAAAUCCGGUGCUCUUGUUUUUGGUCUGAUGGGGUUAAUUUAAUUACACUUGAAUUUGUUUUUAUUACAGUUUUCGUUUGAAAAUUGCGUCAUAAAGCCCAGCUCUGAGCAGCUCAAUAAGCGGCUGAACAAAAACAGCGAAGAACUUGACAGCGAUCACUUAUAUUUGAGAUUGUUUCAAAAUAUUUCCUUCAGUAAACAGCUGUGUAACCGCACUGGCAACAGUGAUGUCCCCCAUGACGCCAGCAGGACACGCGACCGGGAAUAAUGGAGCAACCGAUAAAGGAUCACCAGCGUGACUCGACACGUCCCGGCCUCGCUUUUCUCUCUCUCUCUCUUGAAGUUAAUAAGAAAAUAAAUAUGCAGCUUUCCACGUUACCAAGAAACUCCAAAAACCUAAAUUCCUCUGUCCUGAAGAUGUCCGUAUGCUCCUAAAAGGGUUCUACCUGGAGAACUAAGUGUUCUUACACCACUAAAAGGGUUCUACACGGAGGACUAAGGCUUCUUGUGCUCCUAAAAGGAUUCUACUUGGAGAUCUAGGUGUUCGUAUGCUCCUAAAAGGGUUCUACUUGGAGGCCUAAGGGUUCUUAUGCUCCUAAAGGGGUUCUACUUGGAGAUCUAGGUGGUCGUAUGCUCAUAAAAUGGUUCUACUUGAUGAUCUAAGUGUUCUUAUGCUCCUAAAAGGGUUCUACUUGGAGGCCUAAGGGUUCUUAUGCUCCUAAAAGGGUUCUACUUGGAGGCCUAAGGGUUCUUAUGCUCCUAAAAGGGUUCUACUUGGAGAUCUAGGUGGUCGUAUGCUCCUAAAAUGGUUCUACUUGAUGAUCUAAGUGUUCUUAUGCUCCUAAAAGGGUUCUACUUGGAGAUCUAGUGUUCGUAUGCUCAUAAAAUGGUUCUACUCAUAGGACAAAGGGUUUUUAUGCUCCUAAAAGGGUUCUACUUGGAGAUCUAGGUGGUCGUACGCUCCUAAAAGGGUUCUACUUGAUGAACUAAGUGUUCUUAUGCUCCUAAAAGGGUGCUAAUUUGAGGACUAAGGGUUCUUAUGCUCCUAAAAGGGUUCUACUUGGACUGCUCAGGGUUCUUAUGCUCCUAAAAGGGUUCUACUUAAAGGACUAUGUGUUCUUAUGCUCCUGAAAGGGUUCUACUUGAAUGAGCUGUUACUACGGACUCAAAAAAAAAAAAAAACCCCUAAAUGUUUAAGAAGAGAAUGUUUCAGAAUUGCGUAAAGACGACGGACUUCCUGUUUGCUUCCUGUUUUUCUGGAGCAGAUCCUCUGUCCCGACCAAUCACACGCACUUAUGUCAGUCAUUUAGCUGAAGGCAUCCCCUCGAGAAUGCAAAGUGUUUUCACAGACGUUCUUAGAUUUAUUUACCUUCUCUAGCUGCGAUUAGUGAAGUGACAACAGGGCUUUCCCCCCAAAAGAUAAACGAGCGCGUUUAAAGACGACUGGACGUGUUUCGUAAGUGUUUAUUCUCAGCUUCAGUUUGAAAACACAGCGCUAGUAGAAAAUAAAAUAAAAUAAGAAAAAAAAAAGUUGUGAAGUGAAAAUAAUGCGUGGAAUUUAUAGCAACGAGUGGAGCGUUAAUAGUGUAGAAUUAAAAGCUUGUUGUUAUUUAUUCCUGUCGGAUGCAGGGAAAUUUCACGUAACUGGACCUUCACGACUUUUAAUCGAAUCUUUUUGGGUUUUUUUUUUUUUUUUUCAAACCAAUAACAUCAGAUCUUUCAGUCCUUCGUGGGGAGAAAAGAUCCGUUUUACUCAUUUACUUCCACCCCCCUUUACUGUUCCCCCUCUUUUCUCUAAAACUCCGUUGGUAGCAAUUCAUUAUGACUCAUCGAUACUCAGUUUCCAUUUUGAGCAGUGUAUAUUUCCCACCGCUGAUUCCGACAGCGCUCGCAUUAGAAAACAGAGACAUGUUGGCGGCAAAAAAAAACUUCAGAGUUCAUUUCGAAAAGGAAUGAUCAGGAGUCAAGCGUGGGCAGAAAUGACAAAGGACAGACUUGGAAAAGGACAAGCGAAGAUCGUGUCGAGGGUAAAAAAAAAUGGCAGCGUAAGCAAAAGACAUUCGCACACACUUCCACACGCACACACACACACACACACACACACGACCCUGAGUUCCUACAAGCAAGCGACAAGGUUGACACACUGCCGUCAUCACUCAUGUGCACAGUAGUAAAUAAAUCUCCUGCUCAGUCUUACAGUAUUAAGCUCUGAUUACAAAUGAAGCCAAAAUGUAAACAGUGUCAUUUACAAUCUAUCAUUUAUUUAUUGUAGAAUUCAUCAUUUGAGCUGCUAUCACAAAUGUGGCAAAACUCUCAAUAGUGUAACUUUAAAAAAACAACAAAAACAAAACACCGGUACGUCUUUAUUGGAACAGACUAACUCUAAGGCUGAUAUUUUAUUAUUUCAUAUAUAAAAGAUGAGUGACGUCGCGUUCAAAUAAAAACGGAUCCGACUCGAAGAAGACGGACAAAGAAACGGAGACAGAAAGUAAAAUCCUGAAUCGAUGCUACUGAAAGAGAGCCGGUGGCGAAGAGAGCCGAGAAAGAGGCGUUUAGCUCGUCACAGGAGAACAUGUGGUAUAAGUGAGUGUGAGGUCCGAGAAAAAGAUCAGCAUGAGCAAAAAAAUAAAUAAAGCGAUCGAUCAAAAACAAACACCCCGCCCCCAAAUUAUAGAUUUUAUUUAAUAAAUUACUUCAUUCAUUAAUUUGUUUGAAUAUUACUUCAAUGUGAAAAAAAAAUUAAAUAAUAAAAUCUUACACUAGGUAAAAAAAAAACAAAAAAAAACGAAACAAUACUUUUUAUUUGAUUUGAUUUUUAAUAUAAUUUUUUCCUAGUUUAUUUUUGGUAUCGUGUAUUGUUAAUUGUGUAUAUCAAAAAUGUGGCCAAAAAGGGAAAAAAAAAAAAAAAAAUCGUACCGAAAGUUUUUGCAGCAACAAUAAAAAAAAAAAAAAAAAAAAAAGGAAAAACAAGAAUACAAAAAUAAAUAAAUAAAUAAAAUAAAAAAAUCCUAGUGUAGUUUUGGUGUCAUGUGACAAAAAAAAACCUACAUACGUUUUUAUCGUAUUAUUCUUUUAAAUUCUUUUAUUUUCAUAUAAAACACUUCCUAGUUUAGUUUUGGUAUCGGGUAUUGUUUAAAACUACAUUUAAAAAACACAACAACAAAAACUAAUACUGAAGGUUUUUACAACAAAACAAAAAAGGAAAAAAUUAAAAAUCCUACAGUAGUUUUGUUGUCAUGUGAGGAGAAAAAAACAACAACCUACAAACAAUUUUGUCACAUUGUAACGCUGCAAUAGUAGAAAAUCUUUGACUAAAAUGAUACCAAAUAUAUUAAUUUUUUUGUUAAGGAAAAAAAAAAAAAACUUACUAAAAAAAUACUAAAAAUGUUUUUCCUAUUACAGUUUUGAUAUCAAAGCCAAGAUGAUUGUAAUGUAUUACGACGACCCUAAUAACCCUCUUACUUAUGUGUUUAAAAUAUAUAUUAACAGUUUGAUCUAUUUGUUUAAAACAGAUUCGUUAUAUUUAAAGGGAUAGUUCACCCCAAAAUCGUCAGUUACUCCGCCUCACGUCGUUCCAAACCCGUGAGACUUUCGUUCGUCGUCGGAAAACGCAAACGAAGACGUUUUUUAAUGAAACCUGGGAGUUUUCUGUCCCUCUGUUUACGAUCCAUGUAACUUUCAAGCUCCAAAAAGUUCAUAAAGGCAUCGUAGAAGGAAUCCACGUGACCCCGGUGGUUUAAUCCCAGUUUUCUGAAGCGAUACGAAUGUUUCGUGUGUACAAAAAAAAAAAAAAAAAAAAAUCCCAACUAAAAUUAAAAUAUCUUUAUUCGCAUAGAAUAUCUUCACUUCUGCGUAGACGUACGAGGGCGAGUAACUGACGACAGAACUCUCAUUUUUGGGUGAACUAUCCCUUUAAAUUUGUCUUCCACUGCUCUUUGUUGAAAACCUAAACUCAGGCCUGGGGUAUUCACGAGGUAUUUAAUUUGCAUGAAUUUAAUAGUAGUAAAUACUUAAAUGAACGGAUGAAUUUUAGAAUAAACUUAAAGGAAACGAUGUCGCUUUGUCGCUUGCUAAUGUGAACGCAGGGUGAAAUGUUAUACCGUGUAAAGAAGCCAAGAAACCAACAUUAAAGUUCGUACAACGAUGUUGACAUCCGAAUGUCAUGCACACGUCUUUGUCCCAUAAGUAAGUAUGUACACACACACACACACACACACACACACACAUGUUGGUUUGCAGUCAGUGUGAAGUGUUCGAGACCCUCUGUUUUCAUGCUGAGGUUGUAAACAGGACUGCAUGUUCAACCGACGAGAAAUCCGAGACGAGGGUCACCACAAGGUCGUCAUCGUUCUCAUACACGGGGUUGUUAAAUAGCACGGAAUAAGGUCCGAGUUGGAAAAAACGACGUGAAUAGAAUCCCUUCUUUUUACUCGGAUGAUGAAGACGACGAACAUGAAGAAGAUAAAGGAUUCCUGACUCGCCCGUCGCUCGUUAGUUUAGCAUUAGAUACCAAAUUGUUUAUUCCUGCCGGAUAAAGAUGGACGAGAACGAAAUGCACAAAAGGCACCACCGAAGCCUUCCACGUCCACGUCCAGGUCCACGUCCACGUCCACACCGUCGUUCACGAGUCCAUUUCACAAAGCUGUAGUGGAGAAGCUCCUACAAAAUGGCAGGCGAUUAAAAGAAACCGUGUUUUUUGUUUGUUCGUUUUAUUUGCAAAAAAAAAUCCGUCUCGAGCAUUAUAAUACAAAAUGCUUUCACAGCAAGGGAUUCUGGGAAACGAUAAUUAGCUCGCUCGCCUCCUCCGAUACACUCCUACGAUCCGGACGAAAGGAAAUGGCCGAAGUGUGACGCGAUGCGAUGGGAAUUCUUUACAGGAACCCUGUUGCGGUUGAUAAAGUGGACAUAGGAGUCCGGCUAGUGAAUUGUGGGAAUGUCUCCGAUCCAGGCUCGAGGCAGCGGUCUGGGACACACGUAUUCAUUCUAGGACAGAAAAGAAAAAAAAAAGAAGAAAAAAGACGAUUAGCCCAACACAAAGCUCCGUGGGUUUUCCCCACACCGCCACAUUUCUGUAGUGAACAGAGAAAUGAAUUAUGCUAAGGUUAAUUACUGUGUCAAAGUGCAAGCAUGCAUGGUCGAUUUUGAUCAAACAGAUAAAACAGAGGGUGAUGGCACGCGUGAAAUGAACUCCCGAGAAGAAGCGCAGUACAACGCCAUGCUUGUCUGAGACCGCUCUUUACGAUAAUAAUUAAAAUGCGGGUGAACGAAUGAAGCAGUUCGAUCUGGACGGAGUGACCUUGCCAUUGUGAGCGCUUUAUCUUAACUAGAUUACAUAAAAACUCCCCUGAAUACCAAUUUGGAAUAUGAGCCCAAAAAAUAGACUGCUAUCUCAAUUACCCUGAAGUUCAGCACAAGAUUUUUACAUUAUUGAGAGUAAUGGAGAGUCGGUUUUUUCCCUGCCCCCCGAUACUCUAAAAUCUUUUCAUCGUAGGUGUAAUGAGGACGACGCGGCACUUUCCUCUUACAGUGUCUAGCAAGGUUCGGAAUUCCUCAACUAAGAAUGUUUUCUCUAUAAACCUGCUAUUUAACGAUGCAUUAUAACAUGUCACGUAGUGUACAUUAUACGUUCUAAACCUCAAAUGGCCCCGUUGUGUCCUCCAAAGCAUUUUUCGUUUACUUUGAAAUGAGGUAGAAUCUGAAUAAAAGGUAAAGAACUGAAUUUGAAGCUUGCAGGAGAAAGAAAAAAAGCCAGGUUUGGGUUGGAUUGCUCAUGUGGUGCUGCACGAUGCGAUUAUCUCCAUCAUUCAUUCAUGUUCAGUAGAUUUUUUUGUUCUGGAAAGCAAGUAGGGUGUAGUCAAGCCUGCCAUUUUCAAACCCAAGACCAGUCCAAGACCAGGUCUAGUCAAGAUCUAGUCAAGACUGAGUCAUGCGAGGCCAAGUCAACAGUGAUUUCCAAA